Molecule: non-coding RNA, 72 nt
Organism: Phthorimaea operculella (potato tuberworm)
Lineage: Eukaryota; Metazoa; Arthropoda; Insecta; Lepidoptera; Gelechiidae
Source: the annotation of a GenBank genome assembly
GCGCCCGUAGCUCAGUUGGCAGAGCGGUGGGACGGUACUCCGCGGUCCCGGGUUCAAGUCCCGGCGGUCGCU